Molecule: ribosomal RNA, 255 nt
Filed under: uncultured bacterium
Lineage: Bacteria
Description: partial 16S ribosomal RNA
Rfam family: Bacterial small subunit ribosomal RNA
Source: RNAcentral
UACGUAGGGGGCAAGCGUUGUCCGGAAUUAUUGGGCGUAAAGCGCGCGCAGGCGGUCAUUUAAGUCUGGUGUUUAAUCCUGGGGCUCAACCCCAGUUCGCAUCGGAAACUGGAUGACUUGAGUGUAAGAGAGGAAAGUGGAAUUCCACGUGUAGCGGUGAAAUGCGUAGAGAUCGUAAGGAAGACCAGUGGCGAAGGCGGGUCGUCUGGACAGUUCCGUGACACUGAGGCACGAAGGCCAGGGGAGCAAACGGGG